This is a non-coding RNA of Trichonephila inaurata madagascariensis, 87 nucleotides long. The record is from the annotation of a GenBank genome assembly. NCBI's taxonomy places the organism in Eukaryota, Metazoa, Arthropoda, Arachnida, Araneae, Nephilidae.
GCAGCUGUGGCCGAGUGGUUAAGGCGAUGGACUAUAGAAAUCCAUUAAGGGGUCUCUCGCGUAAGGUUCGAGAUCCUACCGGCUGUG